GCAGUCGCCGCGGGAAUACGAAGGGGGCUAGCGUUGUUCGGAUUUACUGGGCGUAAAGCGCACGUAGGCGGAUCGAUCAGUCAGGGGUGAAAUCCCAGAGCUCAACUCCGGAACUGCCUUUGAUACUGUCGAUCUGGAGUAUGGAAGAGGUGAGUGGAAUUCCGAGUGUAGAGGUGAAAUUCGUAGAUAUUCGGAGGAACACCAGUGGCGAAGGCGGCUCACUGGUCCAUUACUGACGCUGAGGUGCGAAAGCGUGGGGAGCAAACAGGAUUAGAUACCCCGGUAGUCCCUGUCUCUUAUAC
RNAcentral lists this ribosomal RNA (302 nucleotides) under uncultured bacterium. RNAcentral's name for it is "partial 16S ribosomal RNA". It matches the Rfam family "Bacterial small subunit ribosomal RNA", at positions 508 to 807 of the family's 1533-position model. The record is from RNAcentral.